Molecule: ribosomal RNA, 450 nt
Filed under: uncultured Anaerolineaceae bacterium
Lineage: Bacteria; Bacillati; Chloroflexota; Anaerolineae; Anaerolineales; Anaerolineaceae
Description: bacterial SSU rRNA
Rfam family: Bacterial small subunit ribosomal RNA
Source: RNAcentral
UCCCGCACAAGCAGCGGAGCGUGUGGUUUAAUUCGAUGCUACACGAAGAACCUUACCUGGGUUUGACAUAGAGGUAGUAGGGAAGCGAAAGCGGACCGACCUUCGGGGAGCCUCUACAGGUGUUGCAUGGCUGUCGUCAGCUCGUGUCGUGAGAUGUUCGGUUAAGUCCACUAACGAGCGCAACCCUCGCUGUGUGUUACAAGUGUCACACGGUACUGCCGAUAUUAAGUCGGAGGAAGGUGGGGAUGACGUCAAGUCAGCAUGACCUUUAUAUCCAGGGCUACACACACGCUACAAUGGCCAGUACAAUGGGUUGCCAAGCCGCGAGGCGGAGCCAAUCCUAAAAAGCUGGCCUCAGUUCAGAUUGCAGUCUGCAACUCGACUGCAUGAAGUUGGAGUUGCUAGUAACCGCAGGUCAGCAAUACUGCGGUGAAUACGUUCCCGGGGAUU